Molecule: ribosomal RNA, 460 nt
Filed under: uncultured bacterium
Lineage: Bacteria
Description: partial 16S ribosomal RNA
Rfam family: Bacterial small subunit ribosomal RNA
Source: RNAcentral
CCUACGGGAGGCAGCAGUGAGGAAUAUUGGUCAAUGGGCGGAAGCCUGAACCAGCCAAGUCGCGUGAGGGAUUAAGGCCCUGCGGGUCGUAAACCUCUUUUGCCGGGGAGCAGUGGUCCGGACGCGUCCGGACAGGUAGAGUACCCGGAGAAAAAGCAUCGGCUAACUCCGUGCCAGCAGCCGCGGUAAUACGGAGGAUGCGAGCGUUCUCGGGAUUGAUUGGGUUUAAAGGGUGCGUAGGCGGGCAUUUAAGCCGGCGGUCAAAUGUCGGGGCUCAACCCGGGCCGGCCGUCGGAACUGGGAGCCUUGAGUGGGCGAGAAGUGUGUGGAAUGCGUGGUGUAGCGGUGAAAUGCGUAGAUAUCACGAAGAACCCCGAUUGCGAAGGCAGCAUACCGGCGCCCUACUGACGCUGAGGCACGAAAGUGCGGGUAUCGAACAGGAUUAGAUACCCCAGUAGUC